Molecule: ribosomal RNA, 317 nt
Filed under: uncultured eukaryote
Lineage: Eukaryota
Description: partial 18S ribosomal RNA
Rfam family: Eukaryotic small subunit ribosomal RNA
Source: RNAcentral
CCCUUAGAUGUUCUGGGCCGCACGCGCGCUACACUGAUCGGUGCAACAAGCAUCCGUCCUUGGCCGACAGGCCCGGGCAAUCUUUGAACGCCGGUCGUGAUGGGGAUAGACCUUUGCAAUUUUUGGUCUUCAACGAGGAAUUCCUAGUAAACGCAAGUCAUCAACUUGCAUUGAUUACGUCCCUGCCCUUUGUACACACCGCCCGUCGCACCUACCGAUUGAAUGGUCCGGUGAAACCUCCGGAUUGGCGCGUGCCCUCGGGCGCCGCCGAGAAGUUGGUUAAACCUUACCAUUUAGAGGAAGGUGAAGUCGUNACA